UACGGGGGGGGCAAGCGUUGUUCGGAAUUACUGGGCGUAAAGGGUUCGUAGGUGGCCAACUAAGCCAGACGUGAAAUCCCUCAGCUUAACUGGGGAACUGCGUCUGGGACUGGAUGGCUUGAGUGCAGGAGAGGAACGCGGAAUUCCAGGUGUAGCGGUGAAAUGCGUAGAUAUCUGGAGGAACACCGGUGGCGGAGGCGGCGUUCUGGACUGCAACUGACACUGAGGAACGAAAGCCAGGGGAGCAAACGGG
RNAcentral lists this ribosomal RNA (253 nucleotides) under uncultured bacterium. Its description in RNAcentral is "partial 16S ribosomal RNA". It matches the Rfam family "Bacterial small subunit ribosomal RNA", at positions 524 to 776 of the family's 1533-position model. The record is from RNAcentral.